RNAcentral lists this ribosomal RNA (253 nucleotides) under uncultured bacterium. RNAcentral's name for it is "partial 16S ribosomal RNA". It matches the Rfam family "Bacterial small subunit ribosomal RNA", at positions 524 to 776 of the family's 1533-position model. The record is from RNAcentral.
UACGAAGGGGGCUAGCGUUGUUCGGAAUUACUGGGCGUAAAGCGUGCGCAGGCGGCUAUCCAAGUCAGUGGUGAAAGCCCGGAGCUCAACUCCGGAACUGCCAUUGAGACUGUUUAGCUUGAGUACGAGAGAGGUGAGUGGAAUUCCCAGUGUAGAGGUGAAAUUCGUAGAUAUUGGGAAGAACACCAGUGGCGAAGGCGGCUCACUGGCUCGUUACUGACGCUCAUGCACGACAGCGUGGGGAUCAAACAGG